Molecule: ribosomal RNA, 1095 nt
Filed under: uncultured Flavobacteriaceae bacterium
Lineage: Bacteria; Pseudomonadati; Bacteroidota; Flavobacteriia; Flavobacteriales; Flavobacteriaceae
Description: bacterial SSU rRNA
Rfam family: Bacterial small subunit ribosomal RNA
Source: RNAcentral
AAACUGCUUUUAUAUAGGAAGAAAAACUUUCUCGUGAGAAAGCUUGACGGUACUAUAAGAAUAAGGAUCGGCUAACUCCGUGCCAGCAGCCGCGGUAAUACGGAGGAUCCAAGCGUUAUCCGGAAUCAUUGGGUUUAAAGGGUCCGUAGGUGGACAAAUAAGUCAGAGGUGAAAUCCUGCAGCUCAACUGUAGAACUGCCUUUGAUACUGUUUGUCUUGAGUUAUUAUGAAGUGAUUAGAAUGUGUAGUGUAGCGGUGAAAUGCAUAGAUAUUACACAGAAUACCGAUUGCGAAGGCAGAUCACUAAUAAUUAACUGACACUGAGGGACGAAAGCGUGGGUAGCGAACAGGAUUAGAUACCCUGGUAGUCCACGCCGUAAACGAUGGUCACUAGCUGUUUGGACUUCGGUCUGAGUGGCUAAGCGAAAGUGAUAAGUGACCCACCUGGGGAGUACGUUCGCAAGAAUGAAACUCAAAGGAAUUGACGGGGGCCCGCACAAGCGGUGGAGCAUGUGGUUUAAUUCGAUGGUACGCGAGGAACCUUACCAGGGCUUAAAUGUUAGGUGACAGAUCUAGAAAUAGAUUUUUCUUCGGACACUUAACAAGGUGCUGCAUGGUUGUCGUCAGCUCGUGCCGUGAGGUGUCAGGUUAAGUCCUAUAACGAGCGCAACCCCUGUUGUUAGUUGCCAGCGAGUAAUGUCGGGAACUCUAGCAAGACUGCCAGUGCAAACUGUGAGGAAGGUGGGGAUGACGUCAAAUCAUCACGGCCCUUACGUCCUGGGCUACACACGUGCUACAAUGGUAGGUACAGAGAGCAGCCAAUGCGCGAGCAUGAGCAAAUCUAUAAAACCUAUCUCAGUUCGGAUCGGAGUCUGCAACUCGACUCCGUGAAGCUGGAAUCGCUAGUAAUCGGAUAUCAGCCAUGAUCCGGUGAAUACGCUCCCGGGCCUUGUACACACCGCCCGUCAAGCCAUGGAAGUUGGGAGUGCCUGAAGUCCGUUUCCGCAAGGAUCGGCCUAGGGUAAAAUCGAUAACUAGGGCUAAGUCGUAACAAGGUAGCCGUACCGGAAGGUGCGGCUGGAACACCUCCUUUCU